RNAcentral lists this ribosomal RNA (494 nucleotides) under uncultured bacterium. RNAcentral describes it as "partial 16S ribosomal RNA". It matches the Rfam family "Bacterial small subunit ribosomal RNA", at positions 28 to 507 of the family's 1533-position model. The record is from RNAcentral.
GACGAACGCUGGCGGCGCGCUUAACACAUGCAAGUCGAACGGAAAGGCCUGCUUUCCCUUGUGGAUUGCGGGUACUCGAGUGGCGAACGGGUGAGUAACACGUGAGUGAUCUGCCCCCAACUUGGGUAUAAGCCUGGGAAACUGGGUCUAAUUCCCGAUAGGACUGCAGGGUGGUGCCUGUGGUGGAAAACGAUUUUCUAGUGGUUGGGGAUGAGCUCGCGGCCUAUCAGCUUGUUGGUGGGGUAAUGGCCUACCAAGGCGGCGACGGGUAGCCGGCCUGAGAGGGUGGACGGCCACAUUGGGACUGAGAUACGGCCCAGACUCCUACGGGAGGCUGCAGUGGGGAAUAUUGCACAAUGGGCGGAAGCCUGAUGCAGCGACGCCGCGUGGGGGAUGACGGCCUUCGGGUUGUAAACUCCUUUCGACCGCGAGGAAGCCACCUGGUUGGAAGGGUGGUGACGGUAGUGGUAGAAGAAGCACCGGCUAACUACGUG